AACGAACGCUGGCGGCAUGCCUAACACAUGCAAGUCGAACGAAGUCUUCGGACUUAGUGGCGCACGGGUGCGUAACGCGUGGGAAUCUGCCCUUGGGUGCGGAAUAACUUCUCGAAAGGGAUGCUAAUACCGCAUAAUGUCGUAAGACCAAAGAUUUAUCGCCCAAGGAUGAGCCCGCGUAAGAUUAGCUAGUUGGUGGGGUAAAAGCCUACCAAGGCGACGAUCUUUAGCUGGUCUGAGAGGAUGAUCAGCCACACUGGGACUGAGACACGGCCCAGACUCCUACGGGAGGCAGCAGUGGGGAAUAUUGGACAAUGGGCGAAAGCCUGAUCCAGCAAUGCCGCGUGAGUGAUGAAGGCCCUAGGGUUGUAAAGCUCUUUUACCCGAGAUGAUAAUGACAGUAGUCGGGAGAAUAAGC
This 418-nucleotide ribosomal RNA is filed under the name uncultured bacterium. RNAcentral describes it as "bacterial SSU rRNA". It matches the Rfam family "Bacterial small subunit ribosomal RNA", at positions 29 to 491 of the family's 1533-position model. The record is from RNAcentral.